This 678-nucleotide long non-coding RNA is filed under the name Manacus vitellinus (golden-collared manakin). RNAcentral's name for it is "lncRNA (ENSMVIG00005007725.1)". Lineage: Eukaryota; Metazoa; Chordata; Aves; Passeriformes; Pipridae. The record is from RNAcentral.
UCAGCACUCUGUGAAAUAUGGAUUUAUUAUCAGCCCUGUUGUACAGUUGGAGAAUUAAAACUAAAUGCGCUAUCCAGUUUCUGGCAACGGUGCCAGCAUGGGAAAUCAAAUCUAUGCUGAGUCCCAUCCUACAACCUUAAACAGAUCAGGUAUGAUGUGACCUUAGUGAUUUUGGGAAACCCAAGAGACUCUACUAGACUUCCAGGUCAAAGCAAAUAGUAACUUCCUGAAGCUCCAAAGUGAAAGCAAGGAGCAGUUUCUGGGAGAAGGAAUGCUGAGGACAUGGUGAAAUGAUCUAUAAUGUCCCAUGCCUCUGGAAGUAUACCCAUUUUUAGCAGUUAUCUCAGCUUUACACACAGCAGAGAUAGCUAUGGCAAAUAUGAGCAUUGAAGAAAUGAGGCUGCACACACCGUGAUUCAAUUCUGUCUGCCCCACUCAUCACACAGGAACUGUGUACAACAUUGGAUCAGAAGAUCACUGUAGGAUUGAUGAAGCUGAUGCAUCUGCAGUUUCCUUUGGACAUCACCACUGAUGUGUGCUGAUGUCUACGUCUUACUCCAAGCUUUGGAGGCAGCUUCUACAGCAAGAACUGAAGGCCUGUGGACAUCCAAGUAUUCUGAUGCACAGCAUAUACCAGCUAACUUUUACAGUGCUGUGACUUCACUGUUUUCAUCAGAA